UGAGGAACAUGACCUUCGGCGGGGGAUAGCCGGCCCAACGGCCGGGUAAUACCGCGUACGACCACAUGGGGACAUCCCUGAGUGGUGAAAGCAGCAAUGCGCCGAUGGAGUGCCUCGCGGCCUAUCAGCUUGUUGGCGGGGUAAUGGCCCACCAAGGCGACGACGGGUAGCUGGUCUGAGGAGGAUGAUCAGCCACAUUGGGACUGAGAUACCGGCCCAGACCU
RNAcentral lists this ribosomal RNA (224 nucleotides) under uncultured bacterium. RNAcentral's name for it is "partial 16S ribosomal RNA". It matches the Rfam family "Bacterial small subunit ribosomal RNA", at positions 118 to 338 of the family's 1533-position model. The record is from RNAcentral.